UACGGAGGGUGCAAGCGUUGUCCGGAUUUAUUGGGUUUAAAGGGUGCGUAGGCGGUCGUUUUAAGUCUGGGGUGAAAGCCCGUUGCUCAACAACGGAACUGCCCUGGAAACUGGACGACUUGAGUACAGACGAGGGUGGCGGAAUGGAUGGUGUAGCGGUGAAAUGCAUAGAUACCAUCCAGAACCCCGAUUGCGAAGCAGCUGCCUAGACUGUAACUGACGCUGAGGCACGAAAGCGUGGGGAGCGAACAGG
Molecule: ribosomal RNA, 253 nt
Filed under: uncultured bacterium
Lineage: Bacteria
Description: partial 16S ribosomal RNA
Rfam family: Bacterial small subunit ribosomal RNA
Source: RNAcentral